RNAcentral lists this transfer RNA (72 nucleotides) under Bos taurus (domestic cattle). It matches the Rfam family "tRNA". From Rfam's summary of the family: Transfer RNA (tRNA) molecules are approximately 80 nucleotides in length. RNAcentral also lists the same sequence under 4 other names. The record is from Rfam by way of RNAcentral. Lineage: Eukaryota; Metazoa; Chordata; Mammalia; Artiodactyla; Bovidae.
UCCCUGGUGGCUCAGAUGGUAAAGCAUCUGCUUGCAAUGCAGGAGACCCAGGUUCCAUCUCUGGGUGGGGAA